Molecule: non-coding RNA, 663 nt
Organism: Bactrocera oleae (olive fruit fly)
Lineage: Eukaryota; Metazoa; Arthropoda; Insecta; Diptera; Tephritidae
Source: RefSeq, a predicted model, not a curated record
UGAAAAUACAAGCUGACCCACUUUGAAGGCCCACAAGGCGCAUCCUUCCGUUAACAAUAUGCGGAUUCAUUCUGCAAUAGAGACUGUGUUGCUCUACCAAGGAAGAAGAAAACUGCAAUUCAUUUUGUUUCUCACUCGCAAAAAACGACAAGCUCUCCAUUUAAACGAGUCACCAGAUAGUGGAUAAUUUGCUCUUGGAGCAGCACUCCCAGCGCUGGGCUUGAUUUUUGAACUCAAAGCCUAAAAGGUGGACAAAGGCUUCUGCACAGCUUUCAAGCCAUUCCCUCAAUCAGUUUUAGGACUCUUUUUAUUACUCUAUUUCAUAGAAUGGACGAAGUCUAAUUUGUCAAUCUCACGCCCGCUCAUUGGCCCAAGUAAAUACACAAAACAGAACUUUGCUGGAAUUCACAUUCAAUGGGCUAAUUGAAUAUUAUUUGACUAUAUAAGUAAAUUAUUCCCUUUUAUGCAUUCUCGUUUGUCUCUUUUGCAAUUAAACGCACAGGACUUAAAAAGAAAUGCGUCGGUAUGUACUUAUAAUUGAAUAUGUGUCAAUUUAAAUGUACCAUAAAAAGACGGAAAAUAAAUAUAACGGUUUAAUUGUGAGUUAAAUGUAUCCACAGCGCUCAGUUUGCGGUGGCGAUUUUCAGAGAAGAUGCCUCAUAA